Molecule: unclassified non-coding RNA, 299 nt
Filed under: plant metagenome
Description: partial contains 5.8S ribosomal RNA, internal transcribed spacer 2, and large subunit ribosomal RNA
Rfam family: 5.8S ribosomal RNA (bases 1-104)
Source: RNAcentral
AAAUGCGAUAAGUAGUGUGAAUUGCAGAAUUCAGUGAAUCAUCGAAUCUUUGAACGCACAUUGCGCCCCUUGGUAUUCCAUGGGGCAUGCCUGUUCGAGCGUCAUUUGUACCCUCAAGCUUUGCUUGGUGUUGGGCGUCUUGUCGGAAUAUCCGACUCGCCUUAAAUACAUUGGCAGCCGGCACUUUGGCCUAGGAGCGCAGCACAUUUUGCGAUCGUAAGCCGUUGUGACAGCAUCCAUAAGAUUUAUUUUACCACGUUUGACCUCGGAUCAGGUAGGGAUACCCGCUGAACUUAAGC